UCGAGCGAACAGACGAGGAGCUUGCUCCUCUAACGUUAGCGGCGGACGGGUGAGUAACACGUGGAUAACCUACCUAUAAGACUGGGAUAACUUCGGGAAACCGGAGCUAAUACCGGAUAAUAUAUUGAACCGCAUGGUUCAAUAGUGAAAGACGGUUUUGCUGUCACUUAUAGAUGGAUCCGCGCCGCAUUAGCUAGUUGGUAAGGUAACGGCUUACCAAGGCAACGAUGCGUAGCCGACCUGAGAGGGUGAUCGGCCACACUGGAACUGAGACACGGUCCAGACUCCUACGGGAGGCAGCAGUAGGGAAUCUUCCGCAAUGGGCGAAAGCCUGACGGAGCAACGCCGCGUGAGUGAUGAAGGUCUUCGGAUCGUAAAACUCUGUUAUUAGGGAAGAACAAAUGUGUAAGUAACUAUGCACAUCUUGACGGUACCUAAUCAGAAAGCCACGGCUAACUACGUGCCAGCAGCCGCGGUAAUACGUAGGUGGCAAGCGUUAUCCGGAAUUAUUGGGCGUAAAGCGCGCGUAGGCGGUUCUUUAAGUCUGAUGUGAAAGCCCACGGCUCAACCGUGGAGGGUCAUUGGAAACUGGAAAACUUGAGUGCAGAAGAGGAAAGUGGAAUUCCAUGUGUAGCGGUGAAAUGCGCAGAGAUAUGGAGGAACACCAGUGGUGAAGGCGACUUUCUGGUCUGUAACUGACGCUGAUGUGCGAAAGCGUGGGGAUCAAACAGGAUUAGAUACCCUGGUAGUCCACGCCGUAAACGAUGAGUGCUAAGUGUUAGGGGGUUUCCGCCCCUUAGUGCUGCAGCUAACGCAUUAAGCACUCCGCCUGGGGAGUACGACCGCAAGGUUGAAACUCAAAGGAAUUGACGGGGACCCGCACAAGCGGU
This 890-nucleotide ribosomal RNA is filed under the name uncultured Staphylococcus sp. RNAcentral's name for it is "bacterial SSU rRNA". It matches the Rfam family "Bacterial small subunit ribosomal RNA", at positions 62 to 933 of the family's 1533-position model. Lineage: Bacteria; Bacillati; Bacillota; Bacilli; Caryophanales; Staphylococcaceae. The record is from RNAcentral.